Molecule: ribosomal RNA, 195 nt
Filed under: Triticum aestivum (bread wheat)
Lineage: Eukaryota; Viridiplantae; Streptophyta; Magnoliopsida; Poales; Poaceae
Description: partial small subunit ribosomal RNA
Source: RNAcentral
AUGAUCUGGCAUGUACAGAAUGAAAACUUCAUUCUCGAUUCUAUGAGAAUUUCUAUGAAGGCAUUUCAUUUUCUCCUCUUCAAUGGAACUUUCACUUUCCCUGAAUGUAUCCUAAUUUUUUGCCUAUUGGUUCUCGCUGAAGUAUCUAAAUGGUUCUAUUGGGGUUCUCUUCGAGAUAUCCAAAUAUUAUUUUGA